UACGAAGGGGGCUAGCGUUGUUCGGAAUUACUGGGCGUAAAGCGUAUGUAGGCGGAUCGUUAAGUCGGGGGUGAAAUCCCGAGGCUCAACCUCGGAACUGCCUUCGAUACUGGCGAUCUUCGAGUCCGGGAGAGGUGAGUGGAACUCCGAGUGUAGAGGUGAAAUUCGUAGAUAUUCGGAAGAACACCAGUGGCGAAGGCGGCUCACUGGCCCGGUACUGACGCUGAGACGCGAAAGCGUGGGGAGCGAACAGG
Molecule: ribosomal RNA, 254 nt
Filed under: uncultured bacterium
Lineage: Bacteria
Description: partial 16S ribosomal RNA
Rfam family: Bacterial small subunit ribosomal RNA
Source: RNAcentral